Molecule: ribosomal RNA, 466 nt
Filed under: Klebsiella variicola
Lineage: Bacteria; Pseudomonadati; Pseudomonadota; Gammaproteobacteria; Enterobacterales; Enterobacteriaceae
Description: partial 23S ribosomal RNA
Rfam family: Bacterial large subunit ribosomal RNA
Source: RNAcentral
UGUUUCGGCUAGGGGGUCAUCCCGACUUACCAACCCGAUGCAAACUACGAAUACCGAAGAAUGUUAUCACGGGAGACACACGGCGGGUGCUAACGUCCGUCGUGAAGAGGGAAACAACCCAGACCGCCAGCUAAGGUCCCAAAGUCAUGGUUAAGUGGGAAACGAUGUGGGAAGGCACAGACAGCCAGGAUGUUGGCUUAGAAGCAGCCAUCAUUUAAAGAAAGCGUAAUAGCUCACUGGUCGAGUCGGCCUGCGCGGAAGAUGUAACGGGGCUAAACCAUGCACCGAAGCUGCGGCAGCGACACUAUGUGUUGUUGGGUAGGGGAGCGUUCUGUAAGCCUGCGAAGGUGGCCUGUGAGGGUUGCUGGAGGUAUCAGAAGUGCGAAUGCUGACAUAAGUAACGAUAAAGCGGGUGAAAAGCCCGCUCGCCGGAAGACCAAGGGUUCCUGUCCAACGUUAAUCGGGG